GUCGGCCAUUUUUUUUUUAUGUUUCGUUGGAUUUGUUGUCGUCCGUUGGCGUGUGCUGUGGACUGCAGCACAUGCGGAGGCCAGGCUUGAAGCCAGGCACGUGGAGCUGCCGCGGAGAGGGCCGACUGGAGAGAGCGCGGGUCUGCGGGCAAAUGUGGAUGUGGAAGGAAGAAGACUCUGAUGGCACAGGCAGAGGCUGGGAAGUUGCAGCUGCAAAGCAACAACCCAAGAUGCAGCAAGUGCCAGAAACUAGGAAGAGCCCAUGGAGGACCCUACGCUGGAGCCUUCAGAUAGAGCAGGGAGCAGCAGGCCUCUGACAUCAGGCCCUGCCCUCCAGAACUUGCCUUCCACGACCAGUGAAGAUGCCUUUGAUCUCUGUCUUCAUUGCUCUCUUCAGAGGUUCCAUCAGCUUUGGACAGCUCUAUAGGCUAGAUGAGUUGCUUCCAGCUACUGUGACUGCUGGGAGGCUGCAGGUCAUGGCGCAACUGCCAGGGUCCCUGACACCCUUGUGGAAGACCUGGAUUCAGUUCCUGGGUCCUGGAAUCACUCUGCCCCAUCUCUUCCUGAGUGCCUUGAAACCAUCAGAAGUCACAGCCGCUAUUCUGCCUACACUACAUCUCAAGACCAUAGGUUUUGUUCGUGAGCUGUGAAGAAUCAGUCCCAUGCCAGUGUGGAAGAGAAAGCCCUAUUUUCUGAUUUGUCACCUGUGAGGACCCUCCUCUGAGGACACUAGCACUCAGACAGAAUCAAACAGAUGUCCUCUGCUGGUUCACUUCUAAAAUGCUUGCUACAACUACAGGAGCCAAAGCUGGGAACUGAGAACUUGAUCCACGUCUUCCAUGUGGCUGGAAAGCACCCAACUUCUUGAGCCAUCACCACUGUCUCCCAGGAUGCACAUGGGCGGGAACUAGAGACAGAGAGAAAUGUGGCCUCUUAGACAAGGAAGGAAGAAGGCUGCUCUGGGAUGACCCAGGCAGAGAGUGGAAGCAUGCACUGCAAAGCAAGCAAGCCAAGGACUGCAGCAACUGCCAGAAGCUAGGAAGAGACCAUGAAGGGUCCUAGCCUGGAGCAUGCAGAUAGAGCAGAGGGCAGGAGGCUCCUGACCUCAGGCUCUGCCCUCCAGAACCAUGGUCCAGCUUCCAGUUUUAAUGCCACACAGAUUGCAAUAAAGAGGAAUACGAAGAACAGCAACAAAAAGACAACUCAUUUGCCCCUCAACAGCCUUUUGUUCAUUUGUUCCAGGACCACACCCAUAGCACCAGCAGUAACCAAAACACACAGGCGAAUGUGGAUGUGGAAGGAAGAAGACUCUGAUGGCACAGGCAGAGGCUGGGAAGUUUCAACUGCAAAGCAACAACCCAAGGGUGGAGGCAAGCGCCAGAAACUAGAAACAGGCCGUGGAGGACCGUAUGCUGGAGCCUUCAGAUAGAGCAGGGAGCAGCAGGCCUCUGACAUCAGGCCCUGCCCUCCAGAACUUGCCUUCCACGACCAGUGGAGAUGUCUUUGAUCUCUGUCUUCAUUGCUCUCUUCAGAGGUUCCAUCAGCUUUGGACAGCUCUAUAGGCUAGAUGAGUUGGUGAGUGUUCUGUUCUCUUUGGCAGCUCCUUUGUUUUCAGAAACACACAGGUGAUUCUGUAGAAAUAGACCCUAAAAAUCCUUCAGCCUCAUCAGGAUUUCACCAGCUUUACAUGCACGUGUGUGUGUGUGUGUGUGUGUGUGUGUUGCUGUAUGAAAUACAUCAGCUCAGUAAUACGGUGCUAGAAAAAGAAGAUCCAUGUAGGAAAUGGCAUACUAAGAAGGUAGCUGGAGGAAGGAGAU
This is a non-coding RNA of Oryctolagus cuniculus (rabbit), 1817 nucleotides long. The record is from RefSeq and is a predicted model, not a curated record. Lineage: Eukaryota; Metazoa; Chordata; Mammalia; Lagomorpha; Leporidae.